Molecule: ribosomal RNA, 150 nt
Filed under: Cystobasidium slooffiae
Lineage: Eukaryota; Fungi; Basidiomycota; Cystobasidiomycetes; Cystobasidiales; Cystobasidiaceae
Description: partial 28S ribosomal RNA
Source: RNAcentral
UAUUGAAAUAAACGGUUUGACUUGGCGUAAUAAAUAUUUCGCUAAGGACGUUUUCUUCAAAUAUAAGAGGUGCUUCUAAUUCGCUUCUAAUAGCAUUUAAGCUUUAGACCUCAAAUCAGUCAGGACUACCCGCUGAACUUAAGCAUAUCA